Molecule: non-coding RNA, 943 nt
Filed under: Pungitius sinensis (Amur stickleback)
Lineage: Eukaryota; Metazoa; Chordata; Actinopteri; Perciformes; Gasterosteidae
Description: 12S ribosomal RNA
Rfam family: Bacterial small subunit ribosomal RNA
Source: RNAcentral
CAAAGGCUUGGUCCUGACUUUAACAUCAACUUUAGCUAUACUUACACAUGCAAGUAUCCGCACCCCUGUGAGAAUGCCCCCCAGUUCCCCGUCCGGGAACAAGGAGCUGGUAUCAGGCACACUUUGAAGCCCACGACGCCUUGCUUAGCCACACCCCCAAGGGAAUUCAGCAGUGACAAACAUUAAGCUAUAAGUGAAAACUUGACUUAGUUAAAGCUAAGAGGGCCGGUAAAACUCGUGCCAGCCACCGCGGUUAUACGAGAGGCCCAAGUUGAUGAACAUCGGCGUAAAGAGUGGUUAAGCUAAAAUUAAAACUAAAGCCGAACGUCCCCAAAGCUGUUAUACGCACCUGGGGGUAAGAAGUUCAACCACGAAGGUGGCUUUAUUAAACCUGAACCCACGAAAGCUACGGCACAAACUGGGAUUAGAUACCCCACUAUGCCUAGCCCUAAACAUUGAUAGAAUUUUACAACCUCUAUCCGCCCGGGGACUACAAGCAUCAGCUUGAAACCCAAAGGACUUGGCGGUGCUUUAGAUCCACCUAGAGGAGCCUGUUCUAGAACCGAUAACCCCCGUUCAACCUCACCCCUCUUUGUUAAUACCGCCUAUAUACCACCGUCGUCAGCUUACCCUGUGAGGGACUAAUAGUAAGCUUAACUGGUACAACCCUGAACGUCAGGUCGAGGUGUAGCGUAUGGAGGGGGAAGAAAUGGGCUACAUUCGCUACAACAGCGAACACGAAUGAUGUCCUGAAACGUACAUCUGAAGGAGGAUUUAGCAGUAAGUAGAAAAUAGAGUGUUCUACUGAAAUUGGCCCUGAAGCGCGCACACAUCGCCCGUCACUCUCCCCAAGCCUAAUAAUACAAUUAACUAAAAACUAAUAAUUGCAAAGGGGAGGCAAGUCGUAACAUAGUAAGUGUACCGGAAGGUGCACUUGGAAAAG